Molecule: ribosomal RNA, 484 nt
Filed under: uncultured bacterium
Lineage: Bacteria
Description: partial 16S ribosomal RNA
Rfam family: Bacterial small subunit ribosomal RNA
Source: RNAcentral
AUUGAACGCUGGCGGCAUGCUUUACACAUGCAAGUCGAACGGCAGCGCGGGCUUCGGCCUGGCGGCGAGUGGCGAACGGGUGAGUAAUGCAUCGGAACGUGCCCAGUCGUGGGGGAUAGCCCGGCGACAGCCGGAUUAAUACCGCAUACGACCUGAGGGUGAAAGCGGGGGACCGAAAGGCCUAGCGCUAUUGGAGCGGACGAUGUCGGAUUAGCUAGUUGGUGGGGUAAAGGCUUACCAAGGCGACGAUCCGUAGCUGGUCUGAGAGGACGACCAGCCACACUGGGACUGAGACACGGCCCAGACUCCUACGGGAGGCAGCAGUGGGGAAUUUUGGACAAUGGGGGCAACCCUGACCCAGCCAUGCCGCGUGCGGGAAGAAGGCCUUCGGGUUGUAAAACGCUUUUGUUCGGGAAGAAAUCCUGUGGGCUAAUACCCCGGGGGGAUGACGGUACCGGAAGAAUAAGCACCGGCUAACUACGUG